CCGAGCAGUUGCCAUACCAGGCAGUGAUGCAACAGGUCAGGAUGCUCUUGAUGGUGCAGCUGUAGAACUUCUUGAUCUGGGGACCCAUGCCAAAUCUUUUCAGUCUCCUGAGGGGGAUAGGUUUUGUCGUGCCCUCUUCACAACUGUCUUGGUAGGUUUGGACCAUGACAGUUCGUUGGUGAUGUGGACACCAAGGAACUUGAAACUGUCGAUCCGCUCCACUACAGCCCCGUUGAUGAGAAUGGGGACCUGUUCGGGCUGCCUUUUCCUAUAGUCCACGCUCAGCUCCAUUGUCUUGCUCACACUGAGGGAGAGGUUGUUGUCCUGGCACCACACAGCCAGUUAUCUAACCUCCUCCCAAUGGGCCGUCUCAUCGUUGUCGGUGAUCAGGCCUACCACUGUUGUGUCGAAAGCAAACUUAAUGAUGGUGUUGGAGUCGUGGAGACAUGUUGCCUACCCUUACCACCUGGGGGCGGCCCCAUCAGGAAGUCCAGGAUCCAGUUGCUGAGAGAGGUGUUUAGUCCCAGGGUCCUUAGCUUACUGAUGAGCUUCGUGGGCACUAUGGUGUUGGAUGCUGAGCUGUAGUCAAUGAACAGCAUUCUCACAUAGGUGUUCCUUUUGUCCAGGUGAGAAAGGGCAGUGUGGAGUGCGAUUGAGAUUGCGUCAUCUGUGGAUCUGUUGGGGCGGUAUGCAAAUUGGAGUGGGUCUAGGGUGUCCGGAAGGAUGUGAGCCAUGACAAGCCUUCCAAAGCACUUCAUGGCGGUAAUGAUUUAGACAGGUUAACUUCGCUUCCUUGGGCACAGGGACUAUGGUGGUCUGCUUGAAACAUGUAGGUAUUACAGACUCGGUCAGGGAGCGGUUGAAAAUGUCAGUGAAGACACUUUCCAGUUGGUUUGCGCUUGCUUUGAGUACACGUCCUGGUAAUCCGUCUGGCCCUGCAGCUUUGUGAAUGUUGACCUGUUUAAAGGUCUUGCUCACAUCGGCUACCGAGAGUGUUAUCACACAGUCAUCCAGAACAGCUGGUGCUCUCGUGCAUGCUUCAGUGUUGCUUGCCUCAAAGCGAGCAUAAAAGGCAUUUAAGCUCCUCUGGUAGGCUCACGUCACUGGGCAGCUCCGGUUUCCCUUUGCAAUCCGUAAUAAUUUUCAAGUCCUGAACUUGAAAAUCAAGUCCUCAAUCUUACUGUUGUAUUGAGGUCUGCUUGUUUGAUGGUUCGAAUGACGGCAUAGCGGGAUUUCUUAUAAGCGUCUGGAUUAGUGUCCCGCUCCUUGAAAGCAGCAGCUCGAGCCUUUAUGGCAGAGGUACAAUAAAAUGAUACAAAUAUCUUUGCUCCUAAUGUGCACCCCUCAAAUGAUACAAAACAGCCAAAGUGCACUGGAAAAAACAAUACAGAGGGAAGAAACAAUGCAGACAGACCGAAUAACCAAUGCAGACAGAUGGAAGAACAAUGCAGACGGAGAACAAUGCAGACAGCGAAAACAAUGCAGAUGGAGAAACAAUGCAGAUGGAGAGACAAUGCAGAUGGAGAGACAAUGCAGGCGGUGUGGCAAUGCAGAUGGAGAUACAAUGCAGACUGAGAGGCAAUACAGAUGGAGGGACAAUGCAGACGGAGUAACAAUGCAGACAGAUGCAGGCGGAAUUACAAUACAGACAUAAUGUAUGAUCUGAGUGAUAAUCUUGGGUGCUCCCAAAUCAACAUUACACAGGUCACAUUUAAAAGAGAAUGUUUGGUAGUUCACAUUUAAAAGAGAUCUAGAUUAGAGAAUGUUUGGUAGGACACAUUUAAAAGAGAUCUAGAUUAGAGAAUGUUUGGUAGGUUACAUUUAAAAGAUCUAGAUUAGGGAAUGUUUGGUAGGACACAUUUAAAAGAGAUCUAGAUUAGGGAAUGUUUGGUAGGACACAUUUAAAAGAGAUCUAGAUUAGAGAAUGUUUGGUAGGUUACAUUUAAAAGAUCUAGAAUAGAGAAUGUUUGGUAGAUCUAGAUUAGGGAAUGUUUGGUGGAACACUAGAGUUCCCCAAGGCACAGCAGUUGAAAACCACUGCACGAGACUAGGGCUUCCAUAACUGUUCCUGUGAGUGAGUGGGUGGGUGUCCGUAAUAUCCGCUUUAAUUCUCCUGUUUUAUCAAGUGUCCUGUGAUUCUCUGUCUCUCUCUGUGACAUCCUCUAUAACCACUGGGAUUCUCUGUCUCUCUCUGUGGUUGUGAGUUGGUGGUGACCUAACAUAAUCGCUCGUGGAGCUUUCGCUGUAAAGCAUUUUUGAAAUCAGACACUGUGGCUGGAUUAACAAGAAUUGUAUCUUUAAAAUGGUGCCUAAU
Molecule: long non-coding RNA, 2314 nt
Organism: Oncorhynchus tshawytscha (Chinook salmon)
Lineage: Eukaryota; Metazoa; Chordata; Actinopteri; Salmoniformes; Salmonidae
Source: Ensembl